Daktulosphaira vitifoliae (grape phylloxera) is the source of this 682-nucleotide long non-coding RNA. RefSeq lists it as uncharacterized. Lineage: Eukaryota; Metazoa; Arthropoda; Insecta; Hemiptera; Phylloxeridae. The transcript is spliced from 3 exons. The record is from RefSeq and is a predicted model, not a curated record.
AAUACAGUAAGUGUGGUGUUAUUUAUAUUAUAAGUGAACCGCGGUAAUUUACUCAACAGUGAAUACAAGGAUAACAAAUUAAACUCUCAUAGAACUGUUUUUUUUAACGAUUCGUCAAAAGAUCACAAAUCGUGUCUAGUUGAAGAUGUUACACUCAAAAAUUGUAAUACUUUCCUACGUUCCCCAUUCGAUGCAAAGGUGAGAAGGUAUUCAUUUACUAUGAUGAGUUUCAUUUUGUGUCUUUUACCACUUUUUCUCAGCUCUCACCGAAUGGAUUUCUUUCAACGAUAAGUCAAAAGUUCACAAAUCGUAUCUAGUCGAAGAAAUUACCCUCAAAAAUAGAAAAACUUUCCUCAGUUUCCCGCAAAUGGAGGAAACCUCCAAAAAAAUUACAAAUUUAAAAAUGACCGAAUAACUUUUUUACAAAUGAACAUAUCAAUAUAAUUUUUUUAUUUAUAGAUGCUUGAUGACUUUACCUAUCAUUCAGUUUAUUAUUUUUAUAAAUUUAACCCUUUUAAAUUGACAACUUUUUCACAAAAAAUGUAUUUUACCCUUAACAUUUGUAAGUGUUCCGGAAUGUCUGACACAUUUACAUAUAUCUUAAAUUAUAGCUAAUGUAAUAUAAUUUAUUAUGGAAAAAGAAGAUUUCGACUUUAUUUUGUCUUCACAGUCAAAAUGGUUA